This 759-nucleotide ribosomal RNA is filed under the name uncultured Eikenella sp. RNAcentral describes it as "bacterial SSU rRNA". It matches the Rfam family "Bacterial small subunit ribosomal RNA", at positions 28 to 776 of the family's 1533-position model. The record is from RNAcentral. Lineage: Bacteria; Pseudomonadati; Pseudomonadota; Betaproteobacteria; Neisseriales; Neisseriaceae.
AUUGAACGCUGGCGGCAUGCUUUACACAUGCAAGUCGAACGGCAGCGGGGUAGUGCUUGCACUACUGCCGGCGAGUGGCGAACGGGUGAGUAAUAUAUCGGAACGUACCGAGUAAUGGGGGAUAACCAAUCGAAAGAUUGGCUAAUACCGCAUACGUCCUAAGGGAGAAAGCGGGGGAUCGCAAGACCUCGCGUUAUUCGAGCGGCCGAUAACUGAUUAGCUAGUUGGUGGGGUAAAGGCCUACCAAGGCGACGAUCAGUAGCGGGUCUGAGAGGAUGAUCCGCCACACUGGGACUGAGACACGGCCCAGACUCCUACGGGAGGCAGCAGUGGGGAAUUUUGGACAAUGGGGGCAACCCUGAUCCAGCCAUGCCGCGUGUAUGAAGAAGGCCUUCGGGUUGUAAAGUACUUUUGUUAGGGAAGAAAAGGGAAGUGCUAAUACCACUUUUUGCUGACGGUACCUAAAGAAUAAGCAUCGGCUAACUACGUGCCAGCAGCCGCGGUAAUACGUAGGGUGCGAGCGUUAAUCGGAAUUACUGGGCGUAAAGCGAGCGCAGACGGUUACUUAAGCAGGAUGUGAAAUCCCCGGGCUUAACCUGGGAACUGCGUUCUGAACUGGGUAGCUAGAGUAUGUCAGAGGGGGGUAGAAUUCCACGUGUAGCAGUGAAAUGCGUAGAGAUGUGGAGGAAUACCGAUGGCGAAGGCAGCCCCCUGGGAUGAUACUGACGUUCAUGCUCGAAAGCGUGGGUAGCAAACAGG